Molecule: ribosomal RNA, 773 nt
Filed under: uncultured Neocallimastigales
Lineage: Eukaryota; Fungi; Neocallimastigomycota; Neocallimastigomycetes; Neocallimastigales
Description: partial large subunit ribosomal RNA
Rfam family: Eukaryotic large subunit ribosomal RNA
Source: RNAcentral
GUAGUCUCGCACAGAUGCAUAUCAAUAAGCGGAGGAAAAGAAACUAACAAGGAUUCCCCUAGUAACGGCGAGUGAAGCGGGAAGAGCUCAAAUUUGAAAUCUUAAAGGGUUUCCCUUUACGAAUUGUAGUUUAAAGAAGUGUUUUCUGUUGAGGUUUUGGUAAAAGUUCUUUGGAAUAGGACAUCAUAGAGGGUGAGAAUCCCGUAUUUGACCUUUACUUUCAACUUUGUGAUACACUUUCAAAGAGUCGGAUUGUUUGGGAAUGCAGUCCAAAAUGGGUGGUAAAUUUCAUCUAAAGCUAAAUAUUGGCGAGAGACCGAUAGCGAACAAGUACCGUGAGGGAAAGAUGAAAAGAACUUUGAAAAGAGAGUUAAACAGUACGUGAAAUUGUCAAAAGGGAAGCGUUUGACACCAGUGUUGUUUUUCUGAAAAUCAAUUAAAGAACUGUUUAUGCUAAGUUGUUUAGACUUUAUCAGCUAACUGUUUAGUUUUGAGCUUUUCUUUAAUGCACUUUUCAGUUAACAAGUCAACAUCAAUUUCUUUUGCUGUAAAAAAGCUUGAGGAAGGUGGCUUGAGAUUCGUCUUAAGUGUUUAUAGCCUCUUGCCUAUGCAGUCGGAGAGAUUGAGGUCUGCAGCGUAGAUCCUUCGGGGCUAAAUGCAUUUGUGCUAAGUUAUAACAUUUUAUAGACAACUUGUUGACUAUGAUUUGUCUUGUAGCUUACUCGCUUAUGUUAUUUUACCUACGCUUAGGAUGUGACAGCAGUAUAGACUGU